This is a long non-coding RNA of Alosa sapidissima (American shad), 341 nucleotides long. RefSeq lists it as uncharacterized. The transcript has 2 exons. The record is from RefSeq and is a predicted model, not a curated record. NCBI's taxonomy places the organism in Eukaryota, Metazoa, Chordata, Actinopteri, Clupeiformes, Clupeidae.
UGUGACAUUUUCUCUCCAGGAAGUGACUGGUGAGAAAAUACCAGGAGCCAUGAUGUAAUGGAAUCCACCUCGACGGGUCCCUUCAGCUUGUCGCAGGAACACAAGCUCUUCCUCUUCCUCUCGAGAUGCCUGUGGGUCCUUAGGUGCUUAACCUUAUGGUGAGCAGAAGGCAGAACGUCUAUAUCAGGACACCUGAUUGGCUGCCCGCUGAGUGUGCAAAACCCUGAUUGGCUCACCAGUGUGCGGCUCUCGAUGACCUGGUGCAGUAGGAUGAUGAGGAGGGCGGCGCUGUUGAUGGGCGAGCCGAAGGAGAGGACGCCAAUGUCAGAGCCGGCGUAGGC